AAAUUUGUUCUCUAGGGUUCCGCCACACGGGUCUGGUCCGAGAGAGAACCUGCGGGUCAGUCCGUAGACACGGAAGGGAAAAAGCCUGGGAGAU
This 94-nucleotide small RNA is filed under the name Levilactobacillus brevis. RNAcentral describes it as "Lactobacillus brevis Guanidine-I sequence". It matches the Rfam family "Guanidine-I riboswitch aptamer". Rfam says of the family: This family represents a conserved RNA structure found upstream of the ykkC and yxkD genes in Bacillus subtilis and related genes in other bacteria. Lineage: Bacteria; Bacillati; Bacillota; Bacilli; Lactobacillales; Lactobacillaceae. The record is from RNAcentral. RNAcentral also lists the same sequence under 1 other name.